CACCGCCCGUCACACCAUGGAAGUUGAUUGCUCCAGAAGUGGCUGAGCUAACCCGCAAGGGAGGCAGGACCCCAAGGAGUGAUCGGUAACUGGGGUG
RNAcentral lists this ribosomal RNA (97 nucleotides) under uncultured bacterium. RNAcentral describes it as "partial 16S ribosomal RNA". It matches the Rfam family "Bacterial small subunit ribosomal RNA", at positions 1388 to 1482 of the family's 1533-position model. The record is from RNAcentral.